AAAAUGUUUUGCUGAUUGAAAUUUCCCAAUUUUAUGCAAAAUUAAGGGGGGAGGACUUCCCUCUCCUUUUUUCGUUUUCUGUCGAAUCCUUCCCCCUCUUUUGUCCCAAACCCUUCCCCAAUUCCACCAGAUGCUUCAGCCAAAGCACCGAAGUAUGAGGUCAGAAUGAUCCUCCGGCCUUCCCUCAAUCAAAAAUUAGGGCUUGAAAUGAUUAGCAAUUUGUUAAAUCUUAUGUGCAGGGGUGAGGGCCUAAUAUUGAGAGCAGCAUCUAGAAUUCAAUUGGAUGCAGCAUUAUGCUAAUGAGGAGCUAUUUUCUCUAACUUCAAUCAAGGAAGGAUAAAGUUCUCCAACAACAGGAAACAAACUCAACUAAGGAGUUUGAAGGCAAAGGAAUAGUUUGGAGACAUUUUAUGUUAUUUUUGGGUCAUGUAUAUAUUCAAAGAAAAUGUAUUGUAAUGUAUAUUAGAAUACCUUAUGUUGUUUGACUUUUUAGCAAUGAAAAGUUCUUAUAUAUUUCUAUUUC
Nicotiana attenuata is the source of this 523-nucleotide long non-coding RNA. RefSeq lists it as uncharacterized. The record is from RefSeq and is a predicted model, not a curated record. NCBI's taxonomy places the organism in Eukaryota, Viridiplantae, Streptophyta, Magnoliopsida, Solanales, Solanaceae. The transcript is spliced from 4 exons.